This 253-nucleotide ribosomal RNA is filed under the name uncultured bacterium. Its description in RNAcentral is "partial 16S ribosomal RNA". It matches the Rfam family "Bacterial small subunit ribosomal RNA", at positions 524 to 776 of the family's 1533-position model. The record is from RNAcentral.
UACGGAGGGUGCAAACGUUGCUCGGAAUCAUUGGGCGUAAAGCGCACGUAGGCGGCGGCAUCAGCGGGAUGUGAAAGCCCAGGGCUCAACCCUGGAAGUGCAUCCCGAACUGUGUCGCUUGAAUCUCGGAGGGGGACAGAGAAUUCCCGGUGUAGAGGUGAAAUUCGUAGAUAUCGGGAGGAAUACCAGUGGCGAAGGCGCUGUCCUGGACGAAGAUUGACGCUGAGGUGCGAAAGCGCGGGGAGCAAACAGG